Molecule: ribosomal RNA, 108 nt
Filed under: Pteropus alecto (black flying fox)
Lineage: Eukaryota; Metazoa; Chordata; Mammalia; Chiroptera; Pteropodidae
Source: RNAcentral
AUCUAUAGCCAUACCACCCUCAACGUGCCUGAUCUCGUCUGAUCUCAGAAGCUAAGCAGGGUCGGCCUGGUUAGUACUUGGAUGGGAGACCACCAGGUGCUGUAGGUG